CUGUGGAGGGUCGAAGGGAGCCUGUCUGUGCCCAUUUCACAGAUGGGUGCCCUCAGGACACAGAGGCUCAAGUGACAGCUUCAACUAUGCAAGAGAGCCGCGCAGCACUUGUAACCAUUCUUCACACUUGGGUGAUCCUCCCUGCCUUCCGAGCUGUCCCGUUGCAAGGUUGGAAUGAGCCCAGGAUCUCUUGCUUGGAACAAACUUGAAGAAAAGUUGAGCUAAAGAACAUGAAGGAGAGACCAGAGGUGGCCUUCUGUGCCCCUCACCCCUGCCAAGGCCCUCCAUGUCCAUGCCAUUCAGCCCCAGGCAGAAACCAGAAAGAAGUUUCAGGCUGUCAUGGGCACUGAACUCCUGUCCCAGGGAGGAAUGCUUGUGGCCUGAGUCUGCAAUGAUGCAAGAAGGUGACAUAACUCAACUUGGCAUGAUCCACAGUCCCACCCAUGAAGAGCCAUGCGGUACCUCCUGGGGAAGUCGAGUUG
Molecule: long non-coding RNA, 482 nt
Organism: Tupaia belangeri chinensis (Chinese tree shrew)
Lineage: Eukaryota; Metazoa; Chordata; Mammalia; Scandentia; Tupaiidae
Exons: 3
Source: RefSeq, a predicted model, not a curated record